Neodiprion fabricii is the source of this 424-nucleotide long non-coding RNA. RefSeq lists it as uncharacterized. Lineage: Eukaryota; Metazoa; Arthropoda; Insecta; Hymenoptera; Diprionidae. The transcript is spliced from 3 exons. The record is from RefSeq and is a predicted model, not a curated record.
GUCGCGAUUCACCAGCUAGCGGACCUGGAGCGCCGAAACUACAGAGCGCUUGUCCUAGAAGUCGAUUUUCACCAGGUAGCGGACCUGGAGCGUAGAAACUACGGAGCGCUUGUCCGGAAAGUCGCGUUUCACCAGGUAGCGGACCUGGAGCGUAGAAACUACGGAGCGCUUGUCCGGAAAGUCGCGUUUCACCAGGUAGCGGACCUGGAGCGUAGAAACUACGGAGCGCUUGUCCGGAAAGUCGCGUUUCACCAGGUAGCGGACCUGGAGCGUAGAAACUACAGAGCGCUUGUCCUAGAAGUCGAUUUUCACCAGGUAGCGGACCUGGAGCGUAGAAACUACGGAGCGCUUGUCCGGAAAGUCGCGUUUCACCAGGUAGCGGACCUGGAGCGUAGAAACUACGGAGCGCUUGUCCGGAAAGUCG